This is a long non-coding RNA of Apis mellifera (honey bee), 1110 nucleotides long. RefSeq lists it as uncharacterized. Lineage: Eukaryota; Metazoa; Arthropoda; Insecta; Hymenoptera; Apidae. The record is from RefSeq and is a predicted model, not a curated record. The transcript has 2 exons.
CAGAGGGGCGGGCGGUCGUCCCCCUCCCCCUCGAACGAAGGUUCGAAUCUCGCAAGAGCGGGAGUAGCUGCGGUAAGUGCAGCUCUGCACCAAUUACCAGCCAUUAACCAGAUAAUUCGAUCCUCGAAGAGAACACGGAGGACGUUCUCAAGGGUCGUGCCUUCCGUCCUCUAACCAGUCAUAUCAACGACUAAUUGCCAACGCUUGGGAAAAAAGCGUCGUCCCCGAUGAAAUCCAUCCUCGAGCACCGGGUUUCGUCUCGAGAAACGAAGGGAAAAUAAUAUCGUGUAAAAAAUAAUAUUUAAAGAAAAGAUCCAUCCAGUGAGAAACGAAUGGUUCGAUCUUGCGACGAAUCUUUGGAAUAAAUACAUAAUCAGUCGGGUUUUUAGAAGAAGGAUUUAUUUUGGAAAAGUAUCUUAUAACGAUGUUUGAGAAGUUAAACAUUUGCUGUUCAACUUGCGCCGCCUUUAUUAGUCCAUCUCUCGCCGGUUACCGAUACGUUCAUUCAAUAUUGACUUUUAUAACAAUCCGAUAACUUUUCAGAUAACGUACGGACGGAACGUUCAAACGUUUUAACGUAAACGUUCGGUUACACGGUCGGAGGAAAGUACGUAUUUCGUUCAGAUUCAGCUCUCUCCCUCUCUCUCCCUAUCCCCUCCACUCUAUAUCUUUCCAAUACACGAUCCGAGCACACUCUUCUGCACACUUAUUUGCACAGGCGUGGCAAACAAACUAGUAGCGCCACCUACUAAUUUCGGUGAUCCGACGCAGACGGUUGACGGUUUACUCGUAUUAAUUCAAACAGUGGUAAUAUCGGUGGCCGUAAAACACGAAUACUUUUAAUUCGCGGCCGUUCUUUAAUAUUCGUCUCUUCGCUCGCCGUGCGUAACGCGAGGAUGGAAAAAAAGGCGAAUUCGAUGGAUCGUGAAGCGUGGACCCAUCGUGGUCGGGAAAGGAGGGAAGGAGAGAGAAGUGGCGGAAGAAGGACGGGCAGCGCAAGUGGUCUGAAGGAGCUUCUCCAAACUUGAAAUCCACCGGUCCGUGUCGCUGACGACGUUCAAUUUUCUUCGAUCUGGCCGUCAAACCGUCCAAAUAAAGACGAAAACGUUA